RNAcentral lists this unclassified non-coding RNA (398 nucleotides) under uncultured bacterium. RNAcentral describes it as "contains 16S-23S intergenic spacer region". The record is from RNAcentral.
UCCCCGUUACCGGGGCAGUCUGAAUAGAAAAAUCCAACUAUCCAUAAGGGUUGCGCUCGUUGAAGGACUUAACCUAACAUCUCACGACACGAGCUGACGACGGCCAUGCAACACCUGUCACUGAGUUCCGGCUCUCAAUACACAAAACUAGUUUAUGUACUCAGAGCCGGCACUCACUCCUUUCGGAGUAAUUCUCAGGAUGUCAAAUCUUGGUAAGGUUCUUGGCUUAGCAUCCAAUUAAACAACACGCUCCACCGCUUGUGCGGGUCCCCGUCAAUUCCUUUGAGUUUCGGUCUUGCGACCGUACUCCCCAGGCGGAGUGUUUCACGCGUUAGCUUCGCUACGGAGGGGGUCGAUACCCCCCACAGCUAGCAUCCAUCGUUUACGGCGUGGACUAC